UACGAAGGGGGCUAGCGUUGUUCGGAAUUACUGGGCGUAAAGCGCGCGUAGGCGGUUUUGCAAGCCAGAGGUGAAAUGCCUGAGCUUAACUUAGGACUUGCCUUUGGGACUGCGAGGCUUUGAGGACGAGAGAGGUGAGUGGAAUUCCCAGUGUAGAGGUGAAAUUCGUAGAUAUUGGGAAGAACACCGGUGGCGAAGGCGACUUGCUGGACUUGUAGUGACGCUGAGACGCGAAAGCGUGGGGAGCAAACAGG
Molecule: ribosomal RNA, 254 nt
Filed under: uncultured bacterium
Lineage: Bacteria
Description: partial 16S ribosomal RNA
Rfam family: Bacterial small subunit ribosomal RNA
Source: RNAcentral